Pelobates cultripes (western spadefoot toad) is the source of this 283-nucleotide non-coding RNA. The record is from the annotation of a GenBank genome assembly. Lineage: Eukaryota; Metazoa; Chordata; Amphibia; Anura; Pelobatidae.
AAAUAACAGAAUUUUAAAAAGCGCACCUUGUUCAGCUAAAAAAAGAAUGCAGUGUAUCCAGAGAUAUCUAUUUGCUAACCAUGGAGUUGCUGGUGAUUAUAGCAAGAUUUGGAUAAAAUAAUUGACUUUGAAGUUUUUCCCUACACAACUAUAUUACCAACUUUGCUUAGAGUUUGCUAAUUUUACUUUAGUUCCCUGAAAAUCAGUGUCCAGUGAGCAAGUCCAUUUGAAUCAUUUUCAGCAGAAACUAGUUCAAAACAUUAUUUGUAAUACUAUACAGCUG